Molecule: ribosomal RNA, 372 nt
Filed under: uncultured organism
Description: partial 16S ribosomal RNA
Rfam family: Bacterial small subunit ribosomal RNA
Source: RNAcentral
GUAGGUGGCAAGCGUUGUCCGGAAUUAUUGGGCGUAAAGCGCGCGCAGGCGGUUCUUUAAGUCUGAUGUGAAAGCCCACGGGCUCAACCGUGGAGGGUCAUUGGAAACUGGAGAGCUUGAGUACAGAAGAGGAAAGCGGAAUUCCACGUGUAGCGGUGAAAUGCGUAGAGAUGUGGAGGAACACCAGUGGCGAAGGCGGCUUUCUGGUCUGUAACUGACGCUGAGGCGCGAAAGCGUGGGGAGCAAACAGGAUUAGAUACCCUGGUAGUCCACGCCGUAAACGAUGAGUGCUAAGUGUUAGGGGGUUUCCGCCCCUUAGUGCUGCAGCUAACGCAUUAAGCACUCCGCCUGGGGAGUACGGCCGCAAGGCUG